Long non-coding RNA from Peromyscus leucopus (white-footed mouse), 248 nucleotides. RefSeq lists it as uncharacterized. The transcript is spliced from 2 exons. NCBI's taxonomy places the organism in Eukaryota, Metazoa, Chordata, Mammalia, Rodentia, Cricetidae. The record is from RefSeq and is a predicted model, not a curated record.
GCCCAGUCUCUUCAUUUUACCUCCUUUCCUCACCUCUCUCCAUCUCUCUAAAGAGUGUGUGAAAAUUUUAUGAAUAACUUUCUGGCAAUGCUGGCUCAGAGGACAUGUGGGAUCCUGGGAAGAAGCAUCUUUCAGAGAGGUCACUGCAUAUCCCAGAAUCAUCAGAGACUGCAUAUGUCACAGCUGAAACUGGAGGGUCUGCCCAAGGUUACACCUUCAGUCACCCUGUUUCCACCAUCCUCUGAGGA